RNAcentral lists this transfer RNA (92 nucleotides) under Soehngenia saccharolytica. RNAcentral's name for it is "tRNA-Ser". It matches the Rfam family "tRNA". Rfam says of the family: Transfer RNA (tRNA) molecules are approximately 80 nucleotides in length. Their secondary structure includes four short double-helical elements and three loops (D, anti-codon, and T loops). Further hydrogen bonds mediate the characteristic L-shaped molecular structure. tRNAs have two regions of fundamental functional importance: the anti-codon, which is responsible for specific mRNA codon recognition, and the 3' end, to which the tRNAs corresponding amino acid is attached (by aminoacyl-tRNA synthetases). tRNAs cope with the degeneracy of the genetic code in two manners: having more than one tRNA (with a specific anti-codon) for a particular amino acid; and 'wobble' base-pairing, i.e. permitting non-standard base-pairing at the 3rd anti-codon position. Lineage: Bacteria; Bacillati; Bacillota; Tissierellia; Tissierellales; Tissierellaceae. The record is from RNAcentral. RNAcentral also lists the same sequence under 4 other names.
GGAGAGAUGGCUGAGCUGGUCGAAGGCGCACGACUGGAAAUCGUGUAGGCGCUAUAAACGUCUCGAGGGUUCGAAUCCCUCUCUCUCCGCCA